CAGGUGCAGAACUGCGAAGGAGAGAUCCUGGCACCCAAGUGACAACCUGCAUUGAAAAGGCGGAACUUGGCUCUCCUGCCCUGCCAGCUGUAAGAGCUUGAAAGCAAAGCUAUGGGGGGAAUGUCUUUCAUUUCCCCCUGGAAGCUGGGAGGACGUUCAGCUUAGCAUUGCCAACUGUGUAAUGUGGACUUGCCUCUAAAAGAAGCCUUUUUCCUUGGAUGUCUUUCAGGCCGCAGUAUUCCCUUUGGCACCCCCACCCACCUGGAACAAAGCCUGAUGUAAAGUCUGGGUGCGACUCAGACCGGC
This 306-nucleotide long non-coding RNA is filed under the name Homo sapiens (human). RNAcentral's name for it is "HSALNT0305422". The record is from RNAcentral. Lineage: Eukaryota; Metazoa; Chordata; Mammalia; Primates; Hominidae.